This 1403-nucleotide unclassified non-coding RNA is filed under the name uncultured Neocallimastigales. Its description in RNAcentral is "partial contains small subunit ribosomal RNA, internal transcribed spacer 1, 5.8S ribosomal RNA, internal transcribed spacer 2, and large subunit ribosomal RNA". The stretch from base 626 to 1403 matches the Rfam family "Eukaryotic large subunit ribosomal RNA", at positions 1 to 628 of the family's 3401-position model. The record is from RNAcentral. Lineage: Eukaryota; Fungi; Neocallimastigomycota; Neocallimastigomycetes; Neocallimastigales.
UUUCCGUAGGUGAACCUGCGGAAGGAUCAUUAAUAAAUGGUCUACGUUUUUUAAGUAGACGCUUAAUAAUCCUACCCUUUGUGAAUUUGUUUGUUUGAAAUAAUUUUUUUUAAAAUUAUUGAAUGUCUUUCCCUGUUGAAUUGGUUGUCUUUAAUGGCAAGUGAUUCGCAGGGGAGUGUCAAUAAUUUUUAAAAAGACCUUUUUUAAAAUUAAACUUUUUGUAUUCAUUUGUCUAAAAAUUAUUUUUAUAAUAUAAAAACAACUUUUGACAAUGGAUCUCUUGGUUCUCGCAACGAUGAAGAACGCAGCAAAAUGCGAUAAGUAGUGUGAAUUGCAGAAUACGUGAAUCAUCGAAUCUUCGAACGCAUAUUGCACUUUUUUAGUUUACUAAAAAAGUAUGUCUGUUUGAGUAUCAGUAAAAUAUUCUCAUAAAAAACAUUGUUUUUUAUGGUUAUGAGUGUUUUACAACGAUACAAGUUGUUUCACUUUAAAUUUUUUUAAAAUUUGAAUUUUUCUAAUUUUAAAAUAAAAUUGGAUAAAAUUUUCCCGUGAAAAGGAAUAACCUAAACAAUUUUAAUCUUUGAUUAGAAAAUCCAAACUAAAAGGAAAAUUUAACUAAAUAACUUGAUCUCAAAUCAGAUAAGAGUACCCGCUGAACUUAAGCAUAUCAAUAAGCGGAGGAAAAGAAACUAACAAGGACUCCCUUAGUAACGGCGAGUGAAGCGGGAAGAGCUCAAAUUUGAAAUCUUCAAGGUUUUACCUUGACGAAUCGUAGUUUAAAGAAGUGUUUUCUGUUGAAGUUUUGGUAAAAGUUCUUUGGAAUAGGACAUCAUAGAGGGUGAGAAUCCCGUAUUUGACCAUUAUUUUCAGCUGUGUGAUACACUUUCAAAGAGUCGGAUUGUUUGGGAAUGCAGUCCAAAAUGGGUGGUAAAUUUCAUCUAAAGCUAAAUAUUGGCGAGAGACCGAUAGCGAACAAGUACCGUGAGGGAAAGAUGAAAAGAACUUUGAAAAGAGAGUUAAACAGUACGUGAAAUUGUCAAAAGGGAAGCGUUUGACACCAGUGUUGUUUUCUCGAAAAUCAAUUAAAAAAAGUUGGAUUUUGUGUUGUAUUGACCUUAACAGCUUGCUUCACUCUUUUCCUGCUUUUUUUAAUGCACUUUUCGUUUAACAAGUCAACAUCAGUUUCUUUUGUUGUAAAAGGGUCAUUGGAAGGUGGCUUUCUCUUCGGAGAAAGUGUUUAUAGCCUUUGAUCUCUGCAAUCGGAGAGACUGAGGUCUGCAGCGUAGAUCCUUCGGGGUUAGAUACAUUUGUGCUAAGCUACAGCUUUUCAUAGACAACUUGUUGACUAUGUUUAGUCUUGUGACUUACCCGCUUAUGCUAUUUUACCUACGCUUAGGAUGUUG